UGGAAAACCUUUCCUUCUUUGUCUGACAACUUGUAUAGGGACAUACAUUAUUGUAAGCCAUAUUGUCAGUUACAAUGUAAAUUCUCAACACUUUCUAAAAUGCUAUGAGGCUACUAGGGAAUGUGCAAGGCACGUGACUAAAUGUGUUGCUCCUCCAUCUCUUGUGCCUGGCUCGUGCGCCCGGGCAAUUGCGCGCUUUGUCAGAAUUGAUUGUCUCCAGUUCGUGUAUGCACUUACAUUUACAUUUACAUUUUAGUCAUUUAGCAGACUCUUAUCCAGAGCGACUUACAGCUAGUGAGUGCAUACAUAAUUUAUUUUAUUUUUCAUACUGGCCCCCCGUGGGACUUCAGGGCAGUGCAUGCCCAAAUAGCCGAUGCCCAUUGCUAGCUAGCUAGGUUUGAUGAUGGCCAAAUCUAAGGGGAAGCGACUGACAAUGUUAGACAUCCUUGAGGAGCUAGAAAGAAGUGAUCUUGGACUUGAUGACUCCUGGGAUCGAAGCGCAUCGACCCUGUGGCUGAAGCGGCAUUCGACGAUAGGAUGGGAGGAUGGGAUGGACCCGCUUCUGGACAUAGAGGAUGUCAGACCUCCAGCUGCAACUCCAGCAAUGGAUGCCAGCAGAGAAUACUGUGCCAUUACCCCAUGCAGCAGCAAGACGAAGAGUGGUAGGGGUGAAACCAAAGCCCCCCCAUGAGGCUCCCCCUCAGGACAUGUGGCGGAGUGUUACGGAGGCUGACACAGCACCUGUUCUCUUUCCCUUCUGCCCAUCAAUGACCCCAGGAGUGCAGUUGGACACCUCCUAGACAUACACCCCAUUGGAACUGUCCCAGCUGUUCUUUAGUCACAGAAUUGUCCAAACCCUCUGCACCAACACCAACUCAAUUGGUGAACGAAGACUGCCACAAGGUGUUCAAUGGAGACUCAGUCCAGCAGAGAGUCAGGAACCAUGACGGGAGAUGGACCACUCGCUGUAUCCCCAUCCCAGCACCAGUGAGGGCAUACAACAGCUUCUUGGGGACGACAAGGAGGAAGAGGAGGCUACAGCUUCAGGGGCAGUAGUGGGGGCUCGGAGAGGGUCAUUGGCUGCCGUGGCUGAAGAAGAGGGGUGGACUGCAACCCCAUUACAAUUGUGGACACCUCACUCACCUGUCUACCUUAAGGUCACCAAGGGCAGGCUGUGCUGUCACUUGUGUGCGGAGAAAAAGCUGGAAAACAAGACCCCUUGGAAAUGUGAGUCUUGCAAUGUGCCACUCUGUCUUACAGUAGACAGGAACUGUUACCGGGCAUGGCACAAGAGGAGAAGAGAAGGGACAGAAGUGUGAACACUCGAAACACAGACACAAACACACCUCCAUCUUCCUUUCCCCCACACACUAAUAAUCAGUUCUGUUCUCAUUAUCAGUUUUGUUGUAAAUACUACUUCAUGGUUAACUUUAUUAAUGUUAAAAUAUCAAUUUCUAACUUGUAGCACAUUAAGUUUUGGGAGUGAUUAAUUUGUUCAACGCUCACAUCAGUUUCUAACUUUUUUCCUAUUGUGUUGGGUAGAUAUUCAAUAAAAGGCUUAACAUUGAAUGGCAUUUUUGCUUUUGCUUUGUAUUUUUCUAUUGAUUAUGUAAGGCUUAUGUGUGCCUUCUAAGGUAUAACUGAUUUAUUAGACCAUAUUAUCAAAGGUACAGGGGUCCUCUUCAAAUAUAAUAUUCAACCAUGUUUGUGCACUUUAUACUUUUGAAGAUAUUCACAUUUGUAUGAGAUGAGUAAGAACUAGGC
Long non-coding RNA from Coregonus clupeaformis (lake whitefish), 1764 nucleotides. RefSeq lists it as uncharacterized. The transcript has 4 exons. NCBI's taxonomy places the organism in Eukaryota, Metazoa, Chordata, Actinopteri, Salmoniformes, Salmonidae. The record is from RefSeq and is a predicted model, not a curated record.